AGCCCAUGAUGAGAGCAUCUUCUCAAUAAAUACUUGUAUCUCUCUCAUGCAUUAUAUAGUGUUUCUAAAUUCAUCUGCACAAAAGAAGAAAUAUCAUUCCUUAGUUU
This 107-nucleotide small nucleolar RNA is filed under the name Gossypium arboreum. RNAcentral describes it as "Plant small nucleolar RNA R71". It matches the Rfam family "Plant small nucleolar RNA R71". Rfam says of the family: R71 is a member of the C/D box family of snoRNAs containing the C (UGAUGA) and D (CUGA) box motifs. Multiple nearly identical copies of this snoRNA have been identified in Arabidopsis, and it is thought to function as a 2'-O-ribose methylation guide for 18S ribosomal RNA. The record is from Rfam by way of RNAcentral. Lineage: Eukaryota; Viridiplantae; Streptophyta; Magnoliopsida; Malvales; Malvaceae.